GCGAGGAGUAAAGGUUAUAAACACGUAUCUUCAAUUAAUUUAAUAUAUGAAGAACCAAAGUUUGUAAAGCGUUUAAAAGAAAAAACCGAAACUUCUCAGAGAGUAAAGGAAGGAAACGUUCAAGAUCGUCCUGAUCUACCGGAUGAGGAACCUCUUGUAGUGGAAGGAGGUGAUUUUACUCCGGAAGAAUACGCUCUUCUAAAGAAGAACAGACUUUCAAAUUAUAAAGUUGAGGGAAAAACUUGUUUGGAAUUAUGCUCAGCGCCUCUUGGAAAAUCUGAAAAAUUAAAAAAAUAUGUUAAAAGUGAAAAAUCUACUAUAAAAAAGUCUUUAUUAAACAAUAAAAUGCUUCUCUCCUUUGACACAGAAGAAGAAGACCUCUGAGGAAAUUAAA
This is a long non-coding RNA of Zophobas morio, 394 nucleotides long. RefSeq lists it as uncharacterized. The transcript has 4 exons. NCBI's taxonomy places the organism in Eukaryota, Metazoa, Arthropoda, Insecta, Coleoptera, Tenebrionidae. The record is from RefSeq and is a predicted model, not a curated record.